Molecule: ribosomal RNA, 506 nt
Filed under: uncultured bacterium
Lineage: Bacteria
Description: partial 16S ribosomal RNA
Rfam family: Bacterial small subunit ribosomal RNA
Source: RNAcentral
GACGAACGCUGGCGGCGCGCUUAACACAUGCAAGUCGAGCGAGAACCAGGCUUCGGCCUGGGGAAAGCGGCGAACGGGUGAGUAACACGUGGGUAACCCACCCUUGGCACUGGGAUAGCCCGAGGAAACUCGGAUUAAUACCGGAUGGCCCAACAGCUCUUCGGAGCGGUUGGAAAAGGUAGCUUCGGCUUCCGGCCAAGGACGGGCCCGCGGCGGGUUAGCUUGUUGGGGGGGUAACGGCCCACCAAGGCGACGAUCCGUAGCUGGUCUGAGAGGACGAUCAGCCACACUGGGACUGGGACACGGCCCAGACUCCUACGGGAGGCAGCAGUGGGGAAUCUUGCGCAAUGGGCGAAAGCCUGACGCAGCGACGCCGCGUGGGGGAAGAAGGCUUUCGGGUUGUAAACCCCUUUCAGGAGGGACGAAGCCACUCGGGUGAAUAGCCCAGAGGGUGACGGUACCUCCAGAAGAAGCCCCGGCUAACUACGUGCCAGCCGCCGCAGUAA